UGGGGAAUAUUGCACAAUGGGCGCAAGCCUGAUGCAGCCAUGCCGCGUGUAUGAAGAAGGCCUUCGGGUUGUAAAGUACUUUCAGCGAGGAGGAAGGCGUUGUGGUUAAUAACCGCAACGAUUGACGUUACUCGCAGAAGAAGCACCGGCUAACUCCGUGCCAGCAGCCGCGGUAAUACGGAGGGUGCAAGCGUUAAUCGGAAUUACUGGGCGUAAAGCGCACGCAGGCGGUCUGUCAAGUCGGAUGUGAAAUCCCCGGGCUCAACCUGGGAACUGCAUCCGAAACUGGCAGGAUAGAGUCUUGUAGAGGGGGGUAGAAUUCCAGGUGUAGCGGUGAAAUGCGUAGAGAUCUGGAGGAAUACCGGUGGCGAAGGCGGCCCCCUGGACAAAGACUGACGCUCAGGUGCGAAAGCGUGGGGAGCAAACA
RNAcentral lists this ribosomal RNA (427 nucleotides) under uncultured bacterium. Its description in RNAcentral is "partial 16S ribosomal RNA". It matches the Rfam family "Bacterial small subunit ribosomal RNA", at positions 355 to 774 of the family's 1533-position model. The record is from RNAcentral.